This 682-nucleotide long non-coding RNA is filed under the name Setaria viridis. Its description in RNAcentral is "long non-coding RNA (SVIR_LNC011368)". The record is from RNAcentral. Lineage: Eukaryota; Viridiplantae; Streptophyta; Magnoliopsida; Poales; Poaceae.
CUGUCUUUUUUUUUUUGCCAGCUGCAAGCUUUGCAGGCCUGUGUCAAAGAUUUUUUUGCAAUUCUCAUGUUAUCUUUUAUAUGAACAGAGAACCAACCAAGUUUAUCUUCAAAUAAAUAGUCGAGCUACCUAGAAUCUCCUAAGAAAUUAGAGGAAAAUUAUAAAAUAUGAAGGUAACUCCCAAAAAAUCAUCACUAGUCUGGCAUUCUUUCAGAUGAACAAAUACCUUCACUUAAACAGAAGUUUGGCUUCAUACUGUUGCAUGAAACGUGAUACUAGAUAAAAAAAUUAGCAUACUUUGUUACUUCCUCCGUUCCAAAUUGUAGGUCGUUUUGGCUUUUUAAGGUUCAUAGAUAUUAUUAUACAUCUAGACAUACACUAUAUCUAGAUGCAUAGUAACAUCUAUGAACCUAGAAAAGCCAAAACGACCUACAAUUUGGAACGGAGGGAGUACAUUUAAUCUAAUAGUAUCACCAGGUCCUAGGAGGGUAAAACUGAUCAUAUCGACAUAAAAAGUGUAUGCUGUGCUUCUUGCACAGUAUUUUCUGUUACAAAAAAACUUUACACUACUGGAUGAUGUUAAAUUCCUCCAAAAAUCUGCAGAUUUAGUCCAUUAGACCAUGUCCUUAUGGCCUCUUCAGGAAAAUGAAAUGUCAAUUAUUGGACUGAAGUGUAAUUAAAA